RNAcentral lists this ribosomal RNA (279 nucleotides) under uncultured bacterium. RNAcentral's name for it is "partial 16S ribosomal RNA". It matches the Rfam family "Bacterial small subunit ribosomal RNA", at positions 506 to 784 of the family's 1533-position model. The record is from RNAcentral.
UGCCAGCCGCCGCGGUAAUACGAAGGGUGCUAGCGUUGUUCGGAAUUACUGGGCGUAAAGAGCAUGUAGGCGGAUGAAUUAGUCAGAUGUGAAAGCCCACCGCUUAACGGUGGAACUGCAUUUGAUACUGCAAAGCUUGAAUCAGGCUGAGGUCAGCGGAAUGUGUCAUGUAGCGGUGAAAUGCAUAGAUAUGACAUAGAACACCAAUUGCGAAGGCAGCUGGCUAGACCUGUAUUGACGCUGAGGCACGAAAGCGUGGGGAGCGAACAGGAUUAGAUA